GACGAACGCUGGCGGCGUGCUUAACACAUGCAAGUCGAACGGAAAGGCCCUGCUUUUGUGGGGUGCUUGAGUGGCGAACGGGUGAGUAACACGUGAGUAACCUGCCCUUGACUUUGGGAUAACUUCAGGAAACUGGGGCUAAUACCGGAUAGGAGCUCCUGCUGCAUGGUGGGGGUUGGAAAGUUUCGGCGGUUGGGGAUGGACUCGCGGCUUAUCAGCUUGUUGGUGGGGUAGUGGCUUACCAAGGCUUUGACGGGUAGCCGGCCUGAGAGGGUGACCGGCCACAUUGGGACUGAGAUACGGCCCAGACUCCUACGGGAGGCAGCAGUGGGGAAUAUUGCACAAUGGGCGGAAGCCUGAUGCAGCAACGCCGCGUGCGGGAUGACGGCCUUCGGGUUGUAAACCGCUUUCGCCUGUGACGAAGCGUGAGUGACGGUAAUGGGUAAAGAAGCACCGGCUAACUACGUGCCAGCAGCCGCGGUGAUACGUAGGGUGCGAGCGUUGUCCGGAUUUAUUGGGCGUAAAGGGCUCGUAGGUGGUUGAUCGCGUCGGAAGUGUAAUCUUGGGGCUUAACCCUGAGCGUGCUUUCGAUACGGGUUGACUUGAGGAAGGUAGGGGAGAAUGGAAUUCCUGGUGGAGCGGUGGAAUGCGCAGAUAUCAGGAGGAACACCAGUGGCGAAGGCGGUUCUCUGGGCCUUUCCUGACGCUGAGGAGCGAAAGCGUGGGGAGCGAACAGGCUUAGAUACCCUGGUAGUCCACGCUGUAAACGGUGGGUACUAGGUGUGGGGUCCAUUCCACGGGUUCCGUGCCGUAGCUAACGCUUUAAGUACCCCGCCUGGGGAGUACGGCCGCAAGGCUAAAACUCAAAGGAAUUGACGGGGCCCCGCACAAGCGGCGGAGCAUGCGGAUUAAUUCGAUGCAACGCGUAGAACCUUACCUGGGUUUGACAUGGAUCGGGAGUGCUCAGAGAUGGGUGUGCCUCUUUUGGGGUCGGUUCACAGGUGGUGCAUGGCUGUCGUCAGCUUGUGUCGUGAGAUGUUGGGUUAAGUCCCGCAACGAGCGCAACCCUUGUUCACUGUUGCCAGCACGUUAUGGUGGGGACUCAGUGGAGACCGCCGGGGUCAACUCGGAGGAAGGUGGGGAUGACGUCAAGUCAUCAUGCCCCUUAUGUCCAGGGCUUCACGCAUGCUACAAUGGCUGGUACAGAGAGUGGCGAGCCUGUGAGGGUGAGCGAAUCUCGGAAAGCCGGUCUCAGUUCGGAUUAGGGUCUGCAACUCGACCUCAUGAAGUCGGAGUCGCUAGUAAUCGCAGAUCAGCAACGCUGCGGUGAAUACGUUCCCGGGGCU
RNAcentral lists this ribosomal RNA (1346 nucleotides) under uncultured bacterium. Its description in RNAcentral is "partial 16S ribosomal RNA". It matches the Rfam family "Bacterial small subunit ribosomal RNA", at positions 28 to 1381 of the family's 1533-position model. The record is from RNAcentral.